Molecule: ribosomal RNA, 483 nt
Filed under: uncultured bacterium
Lineage: Bacteria
Description: partial 16S ribosomal RNA
Rfam family: Bacterial small subunit ribosomal RNA
Source: RNAcentral
AUUGAACGCUGGCGGCAGGCCUAACACAUGCAAGUCGAGCGGAUGAAGGGAGCUUGCUCCUGGAUUCAGCGGCGGACGGGUGAGUAAUGCCUAGGAAUCUGCCUGGUAGUGGGGGAUAACGUCCGGAAACGGGCGCUAAUACCGCAUACGUCCUGAGGGAGAAAGUGGGGGAUCUUCGGACCUCACGCUAUCAGAUGAGCCUAGGUCGGAUUAGCUAGUUGGUGGGGUAAAGGCCUACCAAGGCGACGAUCCGUAACUGGUCUGAGAGGAUGAUCAGUCACACUGGAGCUGAGACGCGGUCCAGGCACCUACGGGAGGCAGCAGUGGGGAAUAUUGGACAAUGGGCGAAAGCCUGAUCCAGCCAUGCCGCGUGUGUGAAGAAGGUCUUCGGAUUGUAAAGCACUUUAAGUUGGGAGGAAGGGCAGUAAGUUAAUACCUUGCUGUUUUGACGUUACCAACAGAAUAAGCACCGGCUAACUUCGU